RNAcentral lists this ribosomal RNA (497 nucleotides) under uncultured bacterium. RNAcentral's name for it is "partial 16S ribosomal RNA". It matches the Rfam family "Bacterial small subunit ribosomal RNA", at positions 28 to 507 of the family's 1533-position model. The record is from RNAcentral.
GAUGAACGCUGGCGGCGUGCCUAAUACAUGCAAGUCGAGCGAACGGACGAGAAGCUUGCUUCUCUGAUGUUAGCGGCGGACGGGUGAGUAACACGUGGAUAACCUACCUAUAAGACUGGGAUAACUUCGGGAAACCGUAGCUAAUACCGGAUAAUAUUUUGAACCGCAUGGUUCAAAAGUGAAAGACGGUCUUGCUGUCACUUAUAGAUGGAUCCGCGCUGCAUUAGCUAGUUGGUAAGGUAACGGCUUACCAAGGCAACGAUGCAUAGCCGACCUGAGAGGGUGAUCGGCCACACUGGAGCUGAGCCACGGUCCAGACUCCUACGGGAGGCAGCAGUAGGGAAUCGUCCGCAGUGGGCGAAAGCCUGACGGAGCAACGCCGCGUGAGUGAUGAAGGUCUUCGGAUCGUAAAACUCUGUUAUUAGGGAAGAACAUAUGUGUAAGUAACUGUGCACAUCGUGACGGUACCUAAUCAGAAAGCCACGGCUAACUACGUG